This is a long non-coding RNA of Lathyrus oleraceus (garden pea), 416 nucleotides long. RefSeq lists it as uncharacterized. The transcript has 2 exons. NCBI's taxonomy places the organism in Eukaryota, Viridiplantae, Streptophyta, Magnoliopsida, Fabales, Fabaceae. The record is from RefSeq and is a predicted model, not a curated record.
ACACAAGAUAAGAGAUAAGAAUUAAAAUAUAGUGCUAUGGCAAAAACUAGUGCUUCAGUUGUUCUAGUUGUCCUUGUACUACCAUUAUUUUUGAAUGGCUAUAAUGCUGCUGAUCUACCUCCGAUAGCAGCACCAGUUGGCCCAAGACCUUGCUUUUUCGGAGUAUGUCCUAUUUUCAACUGUGCCACAUUUUGUUUUGGAAUAGGGUUUUCUUCCGGCGAGUGUGAUAGUAUUAUAAGGUGUUGUUGCAGAUGAAGAGUUUGAGAUAUCUAUGUUACAUGAUUGUACAAGCAUAUUAAGAGAGUUUUUAAGGUCCCUAUUAAAAUAAUUUGGAAAAACACUAUUGUAAGUUCAAUUACGAUGUAAUUUCCAAUAUUUUGGAUUGCCAGUAAUAAAGUAAAAUACCCUUGCACUUA